This 298-nucleotide signal recognition particle RNA is filed under the name Saimiri boliviensis boliviensis (Bolivian squirrel monkey). Its description in RNAcentral is "Metazoan signal recognition particle RNA (ENSSBOG00000001492.1)". It matches the Rfam family "Metazoan signal recognition particle RNA". Rfam says of the family: The signal recognition particle (SRP) is a universally conserved ribonucleoprotein. It is involved in the co-translational targeting of proteins to membranes. The record is from RNAcentral. Lineage: Eukaryota; Metazoa; Chordata; Mammalia; Primates; Cebidae.
GCUGGGCAUGGUGGCGCGUGCCUGUAAUCCCAGCUACUCAGGAGGCUGAGGCAGGAGAAUUGCCUGAACCCGGGAGGCGGAGGUUGUGGUGAGCUGAGAUCGCGCCAUUGCACUCCAGCCUGGGUAACAAGAGGGAAACUCUGUGUCAAAAAAAAAAAAAAAAAAAGACCAUCUAGCAUACUGUUUAUUUUGUUUUUUGAAACAUAGUCUCCUUCUGUCACCCAGGCUGGUGUACAGUGGCAUGAUCUCGGCUCACUGCAACCUCUGCCUCCUGGGUUCAAGCAAUUCUCCUGCCUCA